ACAACGUUGUGCUCACGCGUCAUCGGAGAAACGGUAAAAGCUGUCUAAAAACGCUCUGAACAGCGACGUGUGUGUGUGUAUAUCGAGCUGGAGAGCAUGCUAGCUGAUGGCUAACACUUAAAUUAGCGCCCUUGGAACGGCGGAAUGAGUUUUCACGGUACUUAUGGUACACGUGCUGGUCGAGAGUGAGAAUAAAUCACCACCUGUUUGAAACUCUGCGUCUUGCUGAAUGAAUCCAAGGGGCCGCUACAGAUACUUCAGACAACAACUUUUGUCUUUUGCACCCUUCAAUUGCUACAUCACGAAAGGUAACACGCUCACCUGUUUCUUGCUGUGACCACAAGCACACCAGGCAUAGCGUUUCCCAGCAGACACCUUCACUCUGUAGGGCAGCCGGGCAGCAGGGACGGGCUGAGUGGACUGGAGACAGAACUGGACCUGGAGACAGAAACCAGAAGUUAACCCAGAACACACAGGUGGAAGCUGAAUUAGUGAGGAUGACUCCUGCUCCUGUCAUCUCUAAGCUCCUCACACAUCUUUACCUGCACAUGAGGAAAAUCACUCCUGUAGAAUGCAGGGUGGGUCCUACCUAGACCAGGCUGAUCCUGGACCAUCCCACAGAUGCUCAAUCAGAUCUGGAUGUGGGGAGUGUGGAACCCAGAUGUUCAGAGGGAGAUGAUGCCACAUCUGGUCCAGCCGAUCGAAGGUCUUGAAGUUCUCUGACUGGCCUCGACUGAAGAUGGUCGUCUCACUGGAUUUAAGGUUCAGAUGCUCAGUAACAAACUCCACCAAUGUGCCAACAGGGAAGCUUUAGGUUUAUUAAAUGUUGCUAUGAAGGUAUCACUGUUUUUCUUUGUGAGUGCAAUGUGCUCCAACUGAAAGUUGAAUUAGAAGUUAGAAGUAAAUCCUUCCAACUGAAAGGAUUUAGUUGCAUUAAUAACAUCAUAACAUUCUAAUUUUUAUUCCAGUCUUGGCUGGAAAUAGAAUCUCUGUAUUGAUUCAGGUAAAAACUGAACUUCACAGCAUGUUGGAGCAAAACAACCAGAUGAAAACUGUGAUGGUGUUGGAUUAUCAGACCGUAAUGUUGCAGCUCAAAGCAGCUUUUCUAGCUCAGUUCAUUCUGACAUUCAGCUAUGAAUCAACACAGCAGAUGGUGAUCCAUGCUGUGGAAGUCUCACAUCUCCUGAUUUAAUGCAGCUGCUUUGCAAUUUUUACACUGUUUAUUCACCAACACUUUAUUUAAUAAAAGUCCCAUCUAGUUUUCAUGAGGAAUGUGAUAUUUUAAUUUCUCUGUGAAUAACUGCAGUCUAAUGUAACAGCUGGAGUUGUAACAUCUGUCCUUCUAUCUCAGAGAGGACCUGCUUCUUGGUAUAAUUCCCAGCUGCAGACUUUAAAGGAGGCGUCCCGAAAGCUGGAAAGGAAGUGGUAUUCAACUAAUUUGGAGGAAGUUUUUGUAGUUUGGAAAAAUAGUCUAGUAAUUUAUAAAAAAGCUCUUCGUAAUGCCAGGACAACAUAUUAUUCAUCUUUAAUAGAGGAAAACAAGAACAACCCCAGGUUUCUCUUCAGCACUGUAGCCAGGCUGACAAAGAGUUGGAGCUCUGUUGAACCUUGUAAUACAUAAAUGUGUUAAAUAAAUACAUCAUUAAAUAAUUGUCAUUAAAUAAAAUUGGAAUUAAAUGUCAUUAAUUAAAAUUGGAAUUAAAUACAUAAAUGUGUUAUUAAAUAAAUACAUCAUUAAAUAAUUGUCAUUAAUUAAAUUGGAAUUAAAUGUCAUUAAUUAAAAUUGGAAUUAAAUACACAAGUGUGUUAUUAAAUAUGGCAUUAUAUUCAUUAAAAUACCAAUUCAUUUAAAAUAAAAAACAUAUAUUAUUAUUUCACUAAUUCAUUAUUUCAUGGUCCUUUGUUGCAGUGGAUCAUGAAUUUAUUUUAUGUCAACCUCGCCCGUCAAAGUCGGUGGGCGGAUCCUAACACCUGAUUGGUUACCCUGCACAUCAAGUCAAGGCAAAUCGAUUCCAGGUAAUGGAUUGAUGCAGAGCUUGUGAACACAUUCCGAUACACUGGGUGGCGCUGUUCACCUCUACGUUGAUUUGGAUACUCUAUUAAACAAAACUUUAUUGGCAACCGCUAAAGACUCGGUCCUCUACCCCAAAUGUUGAUACAGCGCGGUGCAAGACAGAAUUUCGUUUAGCACCUACUCGGCUCUGUACGGCUCGCCACGGCUCGCCACUACUGUACUGGACUCGGCUUGUCUCGGUUUAGUUGUUUUUCCAUCACAUUGAGUACCACCUCAUCGUGGGUGGAGUCGUCAUAGCACGGCGGCCCGAAAGUCCCUUACCGUCAUUUGUGUGCGACACAAACGCAACACAACAAUGGACGUGGAGGCGAUGGUUCACCUGCUGCUCGGUCUGUGGCUUUCUGUCAGAUUCAAAGUAAUAGAAGAGUCGGAGAAAGCUGAGAGCGGCGAGUCGAAACACUCAUGAGACACACAGGAGAGUUUGGGAGGCGAUGCAGCAGUAUCAAACCGAAGACAAGAAGAUAUGAACUAUGAUAUGAGGAUGCUCUCUUAUGAGACUUCAUGGGAUUUACCUGAAGCAGCAGCACAUGAGCCUGCAGUGGCACAAGGUGUAGAGGAGGAGGGCAGAGAUGUACAGGAUGCAGUACGUGUCAUGCAAAAGUUAAGUUAUUGUUCUUGUUAUACUUCUGUUUUUCAGUCCACGGACCGCUAUUGUUUUUUUGAAUGCAAUUCUGACAAUAAUCUUUUGUACCUUUUGCAGAUGUGUCUAUGCUAUUGUUUGUUUUAUUUGUGAAGAUUCGCAAGAUUAAAUGAGAAAUUAAAUGCCAAAACAUUAAAACCGCUGUUUUAAGAAUAUUCCAGUUUGAUAAAUCAGUAUUGCUUUGGUGUAAUUCAGUCAACGGAAUUAUGAACCAUAAAGGAGUUUGUGUUAAAACAUGUUAAAUCCCAUUAAACACAAAUACAUUAGGGAAUACAGAAUUGUUUGGUUCAGACUGUUGACUCUUUUCCUACCAGUGUCAAAACUAUUUAAAAUGUGCAAAGUACAAACUGUGGUGGGCCUCUCCUACAGUGGAGGGCUAAAAGUAAAACUACAUACAACUACAGGUGCUGGGGUCCGUUUCACGAAGCAGGUUCAACAAACUCUGAGUUUAACCCUGAACUCUGAGUUGAUCUACUCUGAGAUAGAAAACUCUGAGUUUUCAGUUUCACAAUGGCUGAUUUGAGUUGGUUUAAUCAGCUCGGGAGUAGUUUCGCCCGGAGUCAAGCGUGUGCACCACAACUCUGAAAAGCCAGUAUCAAUGGAGCACGAGUCACCAUGGCAACGGGGAAGCGGAGGACGACGCCGUUUGAACUGGAAAUCUUAAUGCGCUUAUAUAGCGAGUUUGAACAUGUUUUUAGAAAGAAGUGCAACACUACUGCAGCUGCAAAAGAGAGGGAGACGGCAUGGGAGAACAUUGCUGCCCGGGUCAAUGCAUAAGUUUAAAUCACAAUAAUAUUACAGGGGAAAACUGUUUGAAUGGUAGCCUAUUAAGUUAUUUCAUUUAGGUGCAAUCCCGCGGGGGAGAAGCGCAUGUGGCAGGAGCUUAAGAUGAAAUAUAAAAACACUUUUAAAAUAGGUAAGACGUCAGCAUAAUCUAAUGGAGCUACCUCAUUUUGAUCAGGUGGCUGUUUGACUGUGCAGUGGUUUUAUCCCACACAGAGCCUAAAUGUCUGCAUGCGUAUCAUAUUCUGUUAAAUAAUUAAGCCUAUUUAAACUAACAAAGACUUCUACUCAGCCAACGUGUGUAUAUAUAUAUAUAUGUGUGUGUGUGUGUAUAUAAAUGUAUACAUAUAUAUAGAGAGAGAUAGAUAUAUAGAUAUUUUUUUUGAGCAUGUUCAUACAAAUAUUUAUUUCUCUUUUGUGUCUUUUUUUCUUUCAGCCCAACAGAUUCUGAUGGUGCUAUCUGCCUGGUGGAGCCCUUCAUGCCACAACAGACCUUGUAACUGUAAGUAGGCAAUACUCCAAAGAUUUUGCCAAAUGGGCAAUUAAGGAGGUGAUGGAGAUCAGGAGGCGGGCGGAGAGAGCCAUGAACAGGGACAAGGGAGGCUUCAUGCUCUCCCACACCUGGGACACCAUACUCCAGAGGAAAUAGGACGGCGGGGGAUGCGGCAUGCUUGGUGGGAUGGUCGGUCCGUUGGGCUCACCACGACAUGCCAUUACGGCAUGGGCGUGGUUGGCCCGGCGCAUCUGGCGACUACUGGGCCAAAAAUGCCGGCGGUCAAAAUCUGCCGGCUGACACGUCAUGCUGUCAGUGAGACGCUUCUGAGGAAGGUCAGAGUGUUUGCCGAAACUGUCAAGCAGGUAAAUAACAUCUAUCCAUUCACCUAAUGUCUGAACAAUAGAAUCAGAAACUAAAGUAUCAACAAGAAGACAUGAUGAACGUUUUUGAGCGAGAACAGUUUAUGUCCAGGGUGAGUGGGGUCUCUGAUGAUGUUUUCUGCAGUCCGUACUAUAGGCUGUAGUCUGAUUCUGUCCUGCUGUGUGGCUGAUCCAGAGGUGCACAGGACAGAUUGGAUGACUGCAGUGUAGAACUGGAUCAACAGCUCCUGUGGCUCCUCCAUGUCUCCUCAGCUGUCAUAGGAAAUACAUCUUCUGAUGAGCUUUUUUCAGGAUGGAGUAGAUGUUCGUCUCCCACUCCACGUCCUGAGAGAUUGUAGUCCCCAAGAGCUUGAAGGACUCCACAGCUGUGAUGUGAUGUGUUUAGCCACCUGUCCACUGAUUUUCAAUCAUGAUCAUGUCUUUGAUACUUUUACUUUAAUAAAUUUUUGGUACUCUUUACUUUAACUGAAGCACAAACAGUACCUCCUCCACCACAACUAAAAACAACAUGGUGUGAACUUCAUUUCAUCCUGUGCACAUUUUGGAGUUGCUAAGAACAGCUGUGUUUUCUUAUUUCUAUGUAUACUUUCAUCCAGUCAUUCAGUUUCACAAUUACCUAGUGACUAUAAGAAGAAUGGUUGCAAUACUACACUACACCAGAACGUAAAUUAAUUGGAGUGACUUACUUGUAAAGUCAUGUGUUCUGUUCAUGUGUCACUGCAGGUACAUGUAGCUUUCAUCAGGCAUUCCUGAGCUGGCAUGCUGCACAGUUUGCAUUUACACCUGCCUGAAUUCUUGGUCAUUGGUCUCGCUGUUCUGAUCAUGCUAGGGUGACCCCACACACCCGUCCCACAACCUCUUCAGCCUGCUGCCAUCAGGGAGGAGACUGAAGAAUCUGAGGACCAGGACCAGCCGACUGAGCAACAGCUUCAUCCACCAGGCUGUCAGGAAGCUGAACUCUCUGCCCUCUCUGCCCUCUCUACCACCCCAUUCCCCCACAUACACAAACUCUGGUCAAUAACCUCUGAUCUGCACUGAAAUAGCACAUUCAACCGUCAAGCGUAUUUGCAUUUCUUGGACUGUUACUUAUUUGCACUAUUCUGAGUAUUCUGCACUAAAUCCCUCACUUUAUCUCAUGGUCAUGUAUACAUUUCACUCAGUUCUGCUUUUCUUAUUUCUUAGUUGUUGCUUGGCUCUAAUUUUGCUUCCUUGGUUCUUUUUUGCCCUUUAAUAUCUUAUUUUCUAAGUGUUUAUUUAAUGUCUACUGUUGCAUGAAGAGAGAGUAACGAAAUUUCGAUUCUUGGUAUGUCAUGUACAUAUUGAAGAAUUGACAAUAAAGCUGACUUUGACUUUGCUGGCAUUUACACCUGCAAUAAUUAUAACAAUAAUGCGAAAAUCAACCAUGCUCUCUGUUUACCGUGUCUGACCAGUGAUAAGAAGUUGCUGUGACGUGCUGGAGGUUGAUGUUGACAGUGUCGGUGUCUGAGCUGGUACUGGUGUCGAGCUGGUGCUGGAGAGGAGCCGCUGCUGGUGCUGGAGAGCUGGGGGCUCCAUGACGGACAACUGACUUCCCCUCUCGACGUCCUUUAGUUUGCCCCUAGUUAUGCUGCUAUAGGCCUAGGCUUCUGGGGGACCUCUCUUGAUGUACUGAGCCCUUCUCUAACUACCUAUGUAUUUACUAUAUGUACCAUUACUACAUUACACUCACUCUGUUUCUCCCUGUGUCCUUUCUCUGAGUGUCCCUGGUCCCAGAGCUGGAUGCUUCAGAUCUGUGGUUGUUCUCCCACCAACUGGCCUAAUCUCCAUCAUGUCCACUGUGGGAUGCUGCUGCUGACCUUCCUCCAGCCCACUGCUUCCAGCUGCCCAUUUCCACCAAUCUACUCUGCAUUGCCCUCACUAUACUUGAUUUGCUCAUCUACAUAUUUUUGAAUUUACCACCAGCUAUAUAUGUAGUAUAUUUAAUGCCAGAGCCAUACACCAUAGCAGUAAACUAUAAUCAGUUUCCAUGUUAGUUGUACUUUGCAUGUAUCAUCUGUCUUAUCAUGCAUAUAUCAAAUUGUGUGUUUUAUGGUCCUUGUCAUCCCCCCCACCUCCCCACCUCUCUACCUCUACCCCUCUACCUCUAUCCCUCUACCUCCACCUCUACCCUUCUACCUCUACUCCUUUACCUCCACCUCUCUACCUCUCUACCCCUCUAUCUCUACCCUUCUAUCUCUACCUCUCUACCUCUACCUCUCUACCUCUACCUCCCUAUCUCUACCCCUCUAUCUCUACCUCUAUCCCUCUAUCUCUACCUCUACUCCUCUAUCUCUACCCUUCUAUCUCUACCUCUACCUCUCUACCUCUCUACCUCUACCCCUCUACCUCUACCCCUCUAUCUCUCUACCUCUACCUCUCUAUCUCUACCCCUCUAUCUCUACCUCUCUAUCUCUAUCUCUCUACCCCUCUAUCUCUACCCCUCUACCUCUACCCCUCUACCUCUACCCCUCUACCUCUACCUCUACCUCUUCUGUCCCUCUCAACCCGCCCGGCCAGCAGACAGAUGGGUCCCCCCACAUUAGAGCCGGGUUCUGCUCGAGGUUUUUUUCCCUGUUAAAAGGGUGUUUUCCUUGCCACUGUCACCUUUUGGAGGAGGAAUUUAGUCUCACAAUCACAGACAAUAGAUAUUAUCUGAAAGUUGGGUUAUUGUUUAUCAGCACAAUUCAAAAAGAUUCAUGUUGGAUAUAUUCCAGUUAAGACUCUAGAAUACCAGGAUUUAUGUAAAUUUACCUCAAUAUGAAUGUUCAGGUUAAGAUUGUGCAGUGAUUUUUAUUAUGUAAGUUUAGCUGAUUAAAGUUUAUGAGUGCACUACAAUAUUAUUUAUUAUUUAAGUUUACAUCAUUAUAAUAUUUAAGGUCAGACCCUACAGUAUUGAGAUUAAGAAAUCAACUAUUCUAUAAAAUGUAAAUACACUGAACUCAUUUGGAUAUAUUUAAGUGAGACUCUACAAUAUUAUUUGACACAAAUCUAUCUAAAUCAAAAUUUUGAUAAUUUUUACUCCAAACAUUUACUGGACUGAUUUAAAUAUUAAAAUCACUCCUUUCUAAUCCUCUGCUGUACGUUCAAACCUGAGGCCUUAAAUAGAAACACACAAGUAUCUGAUUGAAGGAAUUUCUGCAGAGUCCUGGUUCCAGAACAUGAUGAUAGAAUUAUAGACAAACUUUAACAAAAGCUGCCUGUGAGUUUACAGGUUUUUAUGUUAGAUUUCUUCAGUAAUUAUCAGCAAAAAUCAAGUGUUCAUUUGAUGAACUUCAUUUCCUGAAACAUCCAGAAUUGGAGCUCAUAUCUUUGGCAGCUGUAAAGUUUCUGCUUCUUCAAAGUUCACAACACAAUGAAUUAAUUCCUAAAACACUCUCAAUGCUGGAGAACGUUUGAUGCUGAAGCAGUGACCAGUUUUUCUGUUUCUUCUCUGGAGAUGCACAAGGAGGGACGUCUGCAGAGACUGAGAAAGAGUCUCACCACAUCCUGACAUGAGGAAAAAGACUUUAUUGAAGACUACAAUGAGAAGAACUAUCAGCAGACGACUUGGAUUCAAGUUUCUGAAGUGACCACAUGGGCGGAGCCAAGGCGGAGUCUGGGUGGAGUCAGGGCGGAGAGUAGGCGGGGAGGUGGGUGGCGGCCUCCCCCCUCUACUCCCCCACCUCCCCCCACCACACCUUCCCCCGCCCGACCAGUUCCUCAAGUCUCCACGAGUUCUUCAAGUCUCCAUGGGUUUUACCGAAUUUCUUGAGUUUCCACGAGAUCGGAGGCAGAACAAGUUGUCAUGAAGAGGUGUUGAAGUCGGCCAGGAUGGACUGACUUUUUAGAGCAACUAGAAGGAAGACCACUAGAAGAGCAGGUCUUUAACCACCAUCCAUAAAAUCCAUGGAGUCAGUUCCAGAGAAAUGAAGGGAGGUCAACUUUUAUCAACCUCCAUCCAGAUGUUCAACUUGAUAUCUUUACUUGGAGAUUUUUAGCACCACAAAUCUUUAGUAUCACACUUUAUUAUCAUUUAUUAGGACUUUCAUGGAAUCCACCAGCAGAUUGAAUUUUUGUUGACAAACUUUAUUCUUGUCGUGGGACUGCAGUAUUUAAAACUGUUCCUUCUAUUUCACCUCAUGUUUAUUAGUUUUAGUGGAGAAAGUUAUUUUAAUUGUCAGUGUCUCAAAAACUAAAUAAUAAAUUGGAUUAGUCAAGAGGUUGAAAUUUUUUACUUUAUCAUAUUUUACAUAUGACAAAAAAAUAUAAAAAUUAAGCGCCUUGAGACAAUUUGACCUGUAAUUGGCGUUAUAUAAAUAAAGUUGAAUUAAAAUUGUAUGUAUCUUGUAAUGUUGGAGUAAUUUAACCAUAUAUGUUGGAAAACACAUUUUCUUUGUCCAUUAAUCUGUUGAUUGCUUUCUGCACUAAUUCAUUUCUUGUUUUGGUUUAUAAAAUGUCAAGCCCAAAUAUA
Molecule: long non-coding RNA, 8841 nt
Organism: Amphiprion ocellaris (clown anemonefish)
Lineage: Eukaryota; Metazoa; Chordata; Actinopteri; Pomacentridae
Exons: 9
Source: RefSeq, a predicted model, not a curated record